UAUCUGUGUGUGUGUGUGUG
Molecule: microRNA, 20 nt
Filed under: Corchorus olitorius
Lineage: Eukaryota; Viridiplantae; Streptophyta; Magnoliopsida; Malvales; Malvaceae
Description: mmu-miR-466i-
Source: RNAcentral